GACGAACGCUGGCGGCGUGCUUAACACAUGCAAGUCGAACGGAAAGGCCCUGCUUUUGUGGGGUGCUCGAGUGGCGAACGGGUGAGUAACACGUGAGUAACCUGCCCUUGACUUUGGGAUAACUUCAGGAAACUGGGGCUAAUACCGGAUAGGAGCUCCUGCUGCAUGGUGGGGGUUGGAAAGUUUCGGCGGUUGGGGAUGGACUCGCGGCUUAUCAGCUUGUUGGUGGGGUAGUGGCUUACCAAGGCUUUGACGGGUAGCCGGCCUGAGAGGGUGACCGGCCACAUUGGGACUGAGAUACGGCCCAGACUCCUACGGGAGGCAGCAGUGGGGAAUAUUGCACAAUGGGCGGAAGCCUGAUGCAGCAACGCCGCGGGCGGGAUGACGGCCUUCGGGUUGUAAACCGCUUUCGCCUGUGACGAAGCGUGAGCGACGGUAAUGGGUAAAGAAGCACCGGCUAACUACGUG
RNAcentral lists this ribosomal RNA (468 nucleotides) under uncultured bacterium. RNAcentral describes it as "partial 16S ribosomal RNA". It matches the Rfam family "Bacterial small subunit ribosomal RNA", at positions 28 to 507 of the family's 1533-position model. The record is from RNAcentral.